Armillaria fumosa is the source of this 85-nucleotide non-coding RNA. NCBI's taxonomy places the organism in Eukaryota, Fungi, Basidiomycota, Agaricomycetes, Agaricales, Physalacriaceae. The record is from the annotation of a GenBank genome assembly.
UCGGAUAUGUUGCAAUGGCUAAUAAUGCUGCCUUUUAAGUUCUAAGUUUUUGCGGCAGCUCGGGGUUCGAUUCCCCGUAUCCGAA